AGUGAACGCUGGCGGUAGGCCUAACACAUGCAAGUCGAACGGCAGCACAGUAAGAGCUUGCUCUUACGGGUGGCGAGUGGCGGACGGGUGACGAAUACAUCGGAAUCUACUUUUUCGUGGGGGAUAACGUAGGGAAACUUACGCUAAUACCGCAUACGACCUACGGGUGAAAGCAGGGGAUCUUCGCACCUUGCGCGAUUGAAUGAGCCGAUGUCGGAUUAGCUAGUUGGCGGGGUAAAGGCCCACCAAGGCGACGAUCCGUAGCUGGUCUGAGAGGAUGAUCAGCCACACUGGAACUGAGACACGGUCCAGACUCCUACGGGAGGCAGCAGUGGGGAAUCUUGGACAAUGGGCGCAAGCCUGAUCCAGCAAUACCGCGUGGGUGAAGAAGGCCUUCGGGUUGUAAAGCCCUUUUGUUGGGAAAGAAAAGCAGCAGGUUAAUCCCCCGCUGUUCUGACGGUACCCAAAGAAUAAGCCCCGGCUAACUUCGUG
RNAcentral lists this ribosomal RNA (492 nucleotides) under uncultured bacterium. RNAcentral's name for it is "partial 16S ribosomal RNA". It matches the Rfam family "Bacterial small subunit ribosomal RNA", at positions 29 to 507 of the family's 1533-position model. The record is from RNAcentral.